Cotesia glomerata is the source of this 569-nucleotide long non-coding RNA. RefSeq lists it as uncharacterized. The transcript is spliced from 2 exons. The record is from RefSeq and is a predicted model, not a curated record. NCBI's taxonomy places the organism in Eukaryota, Metazoa, Arthropoda, Insecta, Hymenoptera, Braconidae.
UUGAAUUUUCCGGGUUUAUUGAAAACAAGAUGGCAGGACAGCGGUACAACAACACUGCGUUCGAAUACAAACAAAAGCAAAUUUAGUAACUUAUAUCAGUUCUAACUUUUAUGCUAAGUAGUCAUAAGUUAAAAUAAUUGCAAUCAUGUCAGAUCAAAAUUUUAUUAAUAUUGGUGACACCUGUCUGGACUUGAGUGAGCUUACUGAUUCUAAUACACUAUUUCAAAAUCCGCUCAAUAUGCAACAACCGAGAGCUUCCACUAUCCAGAGAGACAAUCAGAAUGUUCCUGCUUCGGUAGCUUCAGAGACAGCUCCUGUAACCGACAAUAAUGUCCAGCAUUUCCCAGGAUUUCUUCCUUCAAAGGGGAAUGUUCAAACCGCUGCUCCAGUUUUGUUGACUACUCGUCAAGGACAACAACUAGAGUCCGAAGAAGAAAAUUCAUCCGUUGUUCCUGUCACUUCAUCAGGCUAAUGAAUAAGGUUCAUGCUCUUUGGAUAUUGGUUCAUAAUAACCAGUAGCAAAUAAAAAAAACAUGAUCAAAGGAAAAUAAUAAAAAGAUCUAGAAUAU